This is a long non-coding RNA of Cephus cinctus (wheat stem sawfly), 539 nucleotides long. RefSeq lists it as uncharacterized. Lineage: Eukaryota; Metazoa; Arthropoda; Insecta; Hymenoptera; Cephidae. The transcript is spliced from 3 exons. The record is from RefSeq and is a predicted model, not a curated record.
CUUCUAGCCAUGCCAUGUAAAGCGGCGCCGAGACAGCACCCUUCCUAGGCAUCGGCAACGUCCUGUAACGAGGAGGGAUGUUUGAGUGAUCAAGGAACAUUAUGAUGGAGAAGCUCCCGCAGUCGAAGAUGUCUGUUUGUCUUUUCCUUCAUGGCAAUCAGUUCUGACUCUUUGACAGGAACUGGAAGAGUAAUGAUUGUUCGGAUCUAGUGGCUGCUGAAAAUCUGCUAUGAGCAAGUCGAAGAAGCUCUUUGUCGUAGACUGGGCGGGUUUUGAUACGUCUGGGAUGACCUUCAGGGCGGAGUAAUCAAUUCGAAAUUUGGACAGAAGACUUGCCAUACUGCCAAAAUAAAAAUUUAAAUUAAUCUAAGCAAGUAAGGCGAUGAUAAUACGUACAAGUGGUGUAGAGUUUAGCAGUACAAAUACCUUCGUUGUUCGUAUUCGAGCUCUGAAUUCCUAUUGGCUAGUGCAAAGACUCGUAAUCGACUACUGGACCAAUUACGUCUCGUGCUGAUGAUAUACGGUAAUAGCAAUGUGAG